This 198-nucleotide ribosomal RNA is filed under the name Clostridioides difficile. Its description in RNAcentral is "partial 23S ribosomal RNA". It matches the Rfam family "Bacterial large subunit ribosomal RNA", at positions 1 to 197 of the family's 2925-position model. Lineage: Bacteria; Bacillati; Bacillota; Clostridia; Peptostreptococcales; Peptostreptococcaceae. The record is from RNAcentral.
UGGUCAAGUUAUUAAGGGUGCAGGGCGGAUGCCUUGGCACUAGGAGCCGAUGAAGGACGUGAUAAGCUGCGAUAAGCUUCGGGGAGUUGCACGUAAACUUUGAUCCGAAGAUUUCCGAAUGAGGAAACUCACUUAGAGUAAUGUCUAAGUAUCAUUAAGUGAAUACAUAGCUUAAUGAGGGGAACUCAGGGAACUGAA